GAUGAACGCUGGCGGCGUGCCUAAUACAUGCAAGUCGAGCGAACGGACGAGGAGCUUGCUUCUCUGAUGUUAGCGGCGGACGGGUGAGUAACACGUGGAUAACCUACCUAUAAGACUGGGAUAACUUCGGGAAACCGGAGCUAAUACCGGAUAAUAUUUUGAACCGCAUGGUUCAAUAGUGAAAGACGGUCUUGCUGUCACUUAUAGAUGGAUCCGCGCCGCAUUAGCUAGUUGGUAAGGUAACGGCUUACCAAGGCAACGAUGCAUAGCCGACCUGAGAGGGUGAUCGGCCACACUGGAACUGAGACACGGUCCAGACUCCUACGGGAGGCAGCAGUAGGGAAUCUUCCGCAAUGGGCGAAAGCCUGACGGAGCAACGCCGCGUGAGUGAUGAAGGUCUUCGGAUCGUAAAACUCUGUUAUUAGGGAAGAACAAAUGUGUAAGUAACUAUGCACGUCUUGACGGUACCUAAUCAGAAAGCCACGGCUAACUACGUG
This 497-nucleotide ribosomal RNA is filed under the name uncultured bacterium. Its description in RNAcentral is "partial 16S ribosomal RNA". It matches the Rfam family "Bacterial small subunit ribosomal RNA", at positions 28 to 507 of the family's 1533-position model. The record is from RNAcentral.